UACAGAGGGUGCGAGCGUUAAUCGGAAUUACUGGGCGUAAAGGGCGCGUAGGCGGUAAAACAUGUGUGAUGUGAAAGCCCCGGGCUUAACCUGGGAAGUGCAUCGCAAACUGUUUUACUGGAGUAUAUGAGAGGGUGGCGGAAUUUCCGGUGUAGCGGUGAAAUGCGUAGAGAUCGGAAGGAACGUCGAUGGCGAAGGCAGCCACCUGGCAUAAUACUGACGCUGAGGCGCGAAAGCGUGGGGAGCGAACAGG
This 253-nucleotide ribosomal RNA is filed under the name uncultured Aquicella sp. Its description in RNAcentral is "partial 16S ribosomal RNA". It matches the Rfam family "Bacterial small subunit ribosomal RNA", at positions 524 to 776 of the family's 1533-position model. Lineage: Bacteria; Pseudomonadati; Pseudomonadota; Gammaproteobacteria; Legionellales; Coxiellaceae. The record is from RNAcentral.